UUGGGGUGCUAAGUGGCCGGGUUUUUUUUGGGUAGGAGAUAAAUUCUAUAAAUCACAAUAUUCCCUCUGAAAUAAAUACAGUUUUAGUGUCUAGGUAAGAAUUAGUACAUGAGUUAAGAGACUAUCGAAGUCUGAAGUUAUCCGCGGGUUAUUUGACUUGAAGCGCGUCGUAGAUUCACCAAACGGUUUAUCACAUAUGUUAGAUAGGUUAUUGCAUUUAAGUCCACAUUUUAUCCAAGCUCAAUACCCAUAUGUUCACAAUAAUCGGGUUACGAUGAGGUACAAGGCAUAGUCUCUCAAAACGAAGAGAGGACAAAUUUAAAUCAUGGAAAUCAAUCGGCAAGGAAAAUAUGAAUACUCGCAUGAGGAAUUGCUGCAAAUAUGGGAGUCAAAUGAUCGAAAAGAUGACAGUAUUUUGAACUAAAUUUAUAAAAAAAUUAAUGGAGACACGUUAAAAGAAGACAAAAAUAAAGAAAUAAAAAAGAAAGUUGAAAAUUUUUGUAGCUUUAUUAGAAAGAAUUUACCAAAUUGCAACAGACUGUUGAGCAGAUUCAAAGAAAAAAAUGGCUUGCGUCGAAAAUGACAUUGGUAGUUGAAAACAAAGAUUGGAAGAGUGCUUCUGCCAGCAAACUAGGACGUCCACAUUUAAAUUAUGAUGAAGGUAGUCAACGUUUGAAAGAAAAUUGGCCUUUGAACUAUCAACAGAGUGGGAGCACAACACCCAACUUCUUGUUCAUGCUGCUGCAGUUUCAGCAAAAAAUCAAAUAAAAGCGGCAUGGCGUGUUUU
Molecule: long non-coding RNA, 787 nt
Organism: Bactrocera latifrons
Lineage: Eukaryota; Metazoa; Arthropoda; Insecta; Diptera; Tephritidae
Exons: 2
Source: RefSeq, a predicted model, not a curated record